CAAGGAUUCAACAUGAACUCUAGUCUUAAUAGUCUCAAAGGAUCAGGCUGAGUCCUCUGGAGGGACUAGAAACAGAUAUGUAAGAGAAAGAAAAGAGAGACCUAUCUUAGAAGUGAUUCGAAGGAGGGUGAAUCACCUUCAAAUUUACAGAGGAACAAGUUAAAUCUUAAAAAGGUGUAGGAAGGAUAGUAACAUAAACAAUACAGUAUUGUAUUGGUCGAAGAAUUGGAACUCUGGGAGGAAGAGACCUCUGUUAUGAAGACCAGUACCUUCCCUGACUCAGGCUCUGAAGGGACUAAGAACAGGAAGUAUUGUUUACCACAGGGUUGUACUCUGUCACCAUGUGGAGGCUGUUGAUCUCAAUGAAACGGCUCAAUUUGGUGGCAUCAAUGCUUUCAAUGUCUUCGUCCUCUAAAUUCAGUUGUUCAUUGUCUACCUGGAUAACACAAAAAAGAAUGAAGUCACUAUUCCAUCUUUUUUUCAUGUAUUGAUAAACGUCUUUAGACCCCCAUGUGACAGGCACUGAUUAAAGCUCUGAAGACCAAAAGAUAAGUAAGAGAGUUUCUCUGCCCUAGGGGGACAAACUGUCCUGUAGACUCCAAAAAAGUGAAGAGAAAUGUCCCACAUGAUGUGGCAGGUGUCACCACAGGAGAAUCACAGGCCCGCAUGUCACCUAUGGAAGAGCAGAAAAGCUUCAAGGAAGAAGUUACUCCUGAAAAGUGGCUAAGACUUGAUCAGAUAAAUGAGGAUGAGGAAGGAGCUUUAAAUAGAGAACAGCAUAUGCAAAUACUGUGAGAUGUGAGAGGUUGCGUUCUGGAAGCUGCUGUUAGUUCACUGUGACCCUACCAGAUGUGAUGUGAGGGUUGCAGAGAGAUGAGCUUAGAGGGAUAAGGAAGAGCAAAUUUGGAAGUGUUCUGAAGCCAAGGCAUGUAGAUUAAAUUCUAUCUGAGGGCAAGGGGGGUCAUUGGCAAGGUCAGAUUUGUAUUAUAUUUAUGUACCCUUUUACUGUGAAAUAAAACACAUGUAGAGAAAAAUAUAACACAGUAUAAACAUUUGCUGUAAAGCUCAGCAAAUUAUCACAGAGAAAACUAUUGUAGAACCACCACCCAAGUCAAGAAAUAGAAUAUUGCUAGAACCCCUGAAGUCCUG
Molecule: long non-coding RNA, 1149 nt
Filed under: Pan troglodytes (chimpanzee)
Lineage: Eukaryota; Metazoa; Chordata; Mammalia; Primates; Hominidae
Description: long non-coding RNA NONPTRT003383
Source: RNAcentral